RNAcentral lists this ribosomal RNA (437 nucleotides) under uncultured bacterium. RNAcentral's name for it is "bacterial SSU rRNA". It matches the Rfam family "Bacterial small subunit ribosomal RNA", at positions 146 to 573 of the family's 1533-position model. The record is from RNAcentral.
GCUCAGGGAAACUUGAGGUAAUGCCCUUAUAAGACCACGUCUGGGGACGGAUGCGGUAAAAGGCGGGGAGCAAUCCUUGCGCUUGAAGAUGAGCCUGCGGCCUAUCAGCUAGUUGGCGGGGUAAUGGCCCACCAAGGCGAAGACGGGUAGCCGGCCUGAGAGGGCGAACGGCCACACUGGGACUGAGACACGGCCCAGACUCCUACGGGAGGCAGCAGUGGGGAAUUUUCCGCAAUGGGCGCAAGCCUGACGGAGCGACGCCGCGUGAGGGAUGAAGGCCUUCGGGUCGUAAACCUCUUUUGCAAGGGAAAAACGCGUACGUGCUAACACCACGGACGUUUGAUGGUACUUUGCGAAUAAGCCCCGGCUAACUACGUGCCAGCAGCCCGCGGUAAAACGUAGCGUUGUCCGGAAUUACUGGGCGUAAAGCGCGUGUA